UCAGCUCUGUGCAACCUCUGCCUCCAGGGUUCAAACGAUUCUUCUGUCUAGCCUCCUGAGUAGUUGAGAUUACAGGUACCUGCCACCACACCUGGCUAAUUUUUAAAUUUUUAAUUUAUUUUUCAUUUUUAGUAGAGACUGAUUUUUGCCAUGUUGGCCAGGCUGGUCUUGAACUCCUGACCUCAAGUGAUCUUCCCGCCUCAGCCUCCCAAAGUGCUGGGAUUACAGGGGUGAGCCAACGUGCAUGGCCUCAGAAAUGGGAUUUCUUGAGCACAGAGGAAAGACCACGUGAGGACAUUGCCAAAGGGCAGCCAUCUGCAAGCCAAAGAGAGUGGCCUCAGAAGAAACCAGGCCUGCCAAAACCUUGACCUUGGCCCUCAGCCUCCAGAACUGUGAGAAAACACAUUUCUGCUUAAGCCACCCAGUCUAUGCUUGUUAUGGCAGCCCUAGCACAUGAAUACCCCUUCCAUCCAAGUGCCUCUGAGGUCAGAGAACUGUUCAAAGUGCCUGAGAGCCAGAGCCCCUGGAAGCAGCCCUUGGCCAAUGGCAAGCAGGAGGACGGGGUGACAGCGUGGGGCUGGAGUAACUCAGAGGCGUGUUCUCCGCUGUCCCUGAGUUCCCCAGCUAGACAGAGCUUCACUUGCCCACCAGGCUGACUUCCUUCCCUUCCCUUCCCUUCCUCACUUCCCCACUCCCCUGUGGGUUUCCUCAGAUCGCUUCCAAGAUAAAGUAUUGCACUGGAAUUCUUGCCCUAAAGUCUGCUUCUGUGGGAAGCAAACCAAGGAGACAUGAUAUUACCGCACUUAGCCCUCCCAUGACUCCAUCAAGGAAGCAGGCCCGUCCCCUUUGGGAGAUGAGGAAGUAGAGACUCAGAGACAGAAAGACACUCAUCCAAGAGCCAGGACUCAAUCCCCAGGCCACCUCCGGGCUUGGACUCCAUCUGUCCAUCACGUGGCCUUUCUGAUAAGCUAGGAACACCUUGGACCUAAGAAGGAUGGGGCGAAGGCCAAGGCCAAGAGCUCCAGGGCCUGGGAGCAGAGCCAACUUACAAGAAUGACUUGCGCACCUUCCACCUGCCCUGGACCCGGAUGGAGGAGUCGGAGAUGCUGAGACUCAGGCCCUGGCCAGGGACAGGCCUCAGCGCAGAGUGAAGCAGCUCACAGCUGUGGAUGUUCAGGCUGAAGGGAGAGACAUGGAAGGAGGUGUCAGCCCUGGGCCUGGACCCAGCCUCACCAGGGACCUUGCGCCUCCCCUCUCCACAGUGGGGACUAGACCAGCAGGAUCUGCUCCAGGAGAGGGCCCCCAGAAAUGGCAGUGCAUCAAAUGAUGGACAGGCGAUCAUAAAACUGUCCCUCUGACAUGAUAAGUGGCCACGAAUGGCGCCAAGAGGGAGAGGAGUUCCCUAACAGAUAGUUGACAUCAUCUGGAGCCAGCAAACCACAAUUCCCUGGUAAGGUCGAGCAGAAGGGCAAAUGUUGGAGUCUGACUUGUAUAUGACCUUUUUCUUGCGGCGACGGACCAGUAAGGGAAAAUCACCCCAAGUGAGCAUGCGCACAACCUUAGUAAACACACUGCGCAUGCGGCCCCUCCCAAGUGCUGGCAGGCCAUUGCGCAUGCAGGGAGGGCGCAGCAGCCCACCGAAGGGAGGAAUCAAGGAGGAGAAGAAACCCCAGAACCAAGCCAGUGUAUAAAAGCCCCGAGCCAAAGGUUGAGCGGGGCACUUGAUCUCUCAGUUGUACUUUGCUUCUUUCAAUAAACCUUUGCCUCUGCUUUAAAACUUGCCUGCGUCUCUCAAUUGAAUUCUUUCCUCUGAGAAGACAAGGGCUGGGAGUGUUGCGGACUCGCCACCGAUAAUAUUCUCACUACAAAAGUGUUACUGAAAAGAUUUUGAAAAACCCAGAAUUUGGAAUCCA
Molecule: long non-coding RNA, 1913 nt
Filed under: Homo sapiens (human)
Lineage: Eukaryota; Metazoa; Chordata; Mammalia; Primates; Hominidae
Description: HSALNT0266948
Source: RNAcentral